This is a long non-coding RNA of Populus euphratica (Euphrates poplar), 3392 nucleotides long. RefSeq lists it as uncharacterized. Lineage: Eukaryota; Viridiplantae; Streptophyta; Magnoliopsida; Malpighiales; Salicaceae. The transcript is spliced from 3 exons. The record is from RefSeq and is a predicted model, not a curated record.
UGUGCUCUAUCCGUUCGAGUUUCGCUUCUCUAGAGAAGGUGAGACGCUAAAAAUGAAAGUGUUCGCAACGCAUACCGAAAGGGUACCAAUGAAGCCGACCAUUAAUGACUAGUUCGAACACCAGGAGCGGUCUGAUCAGGAUCAGACAGACCGCUCUUAGAAAGAAAAGCAAACUCUCACGGAGCCCAGCUCCAACUACUUCUUAGUAAGUGAGGUGAGGUACUUCUUUCGGGGUCGCCCUUUUUUGGUUGAAGCAGCCACGACUUUGGUCGUAGUCAGUUCAAACACAUAAACCCAGUCCACUUGCAGCCAUGUUGAUCAAAAUGACUAAGUUUCAUGACUUGACCAGUCACUCGCCCUCGUAUUAUAAGAUCAUCUCACCUUGUGGUCGACAUUCCAUUCCCCUUAGUCGUAGGUGCUCGUUCUAUUUUUUUUGAUUUGAAUGGGCCGGGUCUCCCGAGGUACAUAUGGCCGGCCUUUCGGGUGUCUCGGUGAUACAAACAAAAAAAAGACGAAUUCCUCCCGUUGGUCGCCUCUCUCCAAGCCAAUCCGUCACCAAAGGAGGAAAUAGAAUCGAAUAAUCUACCUUCUUUUUUCCUUCCCUCCCCCGACAAUCAAGCUGCACUUCCUUCUAACAAGUGGCUGAGAGUUAGCAAGCUACCUUGGCAGGCGGUUCGCUGUCCCCUUCCUUCCUUUCCGGUCCGGCCGCGGUACGGCACCUGAACUCGAAGCUACGAUCAGAUCCGAUUGGAUCUGAUCCGUUCAGAUUCCACAGAUCCAGCCGAUUUGGUCUGGUCCUAUCCGACCCAACCCCAGAACUUAGAAUGGCCGGCGUGUUUUGGACAGUAGAACGGGAAGAGGGGGAGUCGUGCCCAUUCUCUCUCCGGGCACGAGCAGGACAAAUUGAAGACCGAAUCGAAUACAUGUAUAUGACAGAACGACAUAUUCAAAAAUACGUGAUCUGAUUGGAUAGGCUGCCUGCAGAAAGAGUUUUCCGACCGCAUAACAAUUCAUUCUUUUGUGUAGCGCGUGGGACCAUGUCUCCCGAACGAUCAUAGUGCGGCCACUCAUCUAAAAAGAAAUUGGUAGAUCUCACUUCCCUUCCCCCAUACCAUAGCCGGAAGGAAGGGAUAGCGUAUCUACAGAAGAAAGAGUAAAGGCCCUCACCUUUAAUUUAGUUUAGACGCAGCUCGAAUGCCUUUACGCUAUAGGCUGUGUUAAGCAUGCUUCUUUGACAAAAAAGAAAGUCUUUUUCCAUGACAACAGUCGCGACUAUACUAUAAAGGGCGGGGCAGUAAGCUCUCUAUCAACAACAGGGGGCUGUUCUCCUUUGUCAACUCCUUGCUUGUGUCGUUGACUUUGUCAACGCGGACCGGGGCGAGCGGAAUUCAGUAGAGGCUCGAAGAUACUAAGCGAAGGGCGCUUUAGCGGCUUUGCUAUCCAUCCUACUAUACUACCGAAGGGCGACGGGCAAAGCUGCAAGGAGAUAGUGUGCCUUUCUUUGUUCUCAUAGCAGAGUGAGGGGCGCUAUCCAUCCGCCAAUAGAGCCGGUUUUAGUGAAGAUCCGCUCAUAUGCUGCAUGAGGGGCGGCAAAAGACGACUUUGCCCAUGAGUUAGCCGGAAUUCGGACCAAAAUCUCACUUGCAGCUCAGCUGACCCGCUUUCAUUGCAUUCGUGUCGAAAGUGGAGAAUAAAUAACGAAGAUUCGGUCGGUUGAUCUUUUCCUUUUAGUUCGAGAGGUUCGUGAUGCAAGGAAUUGGCCAACGAUCUUCUAUAUGAUGCUUAUAGUUCUGGCUCAGAGGCGUUACGCAUUGCACGCAACGAUUGUCUUCCUUUCGCGGGCGAGCCUAUGCGUUGAAAGUAGGUCAAUCUGCUUCUUCGGUUCGCCUAUUGGCUCAUGUCUUUCUCACCCUUUUUUGGUGUCUUAGGAGUCGCCUAAAUGCUCUAAGAAAUCGGUUAUCGUAUUACCUUGCCCAUGCGCUACUUUAUCUUUUUUAAUUCUUUCCGAUAUGAGCCGAAACCACGACUGAUUGAUUCGCCAAUCUUAGCAAAUAAGAGGCAAUCUUUCGAUUUCGACGAAUCCGCACUUGGCCUGAAAGUCCCAUCCCUAGGACCUGUAGUAGCACGAAAACAAGCAAGCUUUUUCCGAUGUCUUCGACACAGGAGAUUAGGACAGAGAAGUUAGCGAUAGGGGUCUCUCCUCUCCCUUACCACUUACUUUUUCCUACUACUUUGAACUGACUGAGAUGACUUCGCUUCAACCCAGUUAUUAUUUACGCAAUUUCCAGAUCGAGCCAAGCACUGAGCUUCAUUCCAGCUUUGGAAUGAGAGGAAGGGGGCAGUUACCUUUCUCGGAGGAUGCUGGCUUUAUUAGGUAUGAGUGCCGGUACUGAACACUGGAAUCGGCUAGGCUACUAGAUAUAAUGCUUCCACUCCGUACUCUGUAAUAAGAAGAACCAAGCAUCCACCGUAUAAGAGAAAGACCGUCGACCCCUGAGAUGAAAGAAGGAAACUUAGGUGCUGAACCCAGGCGGGGGCCCCGGAUAGGAGGUCAGUGUGUGAUCAGUUAGAUAGGGGAUCUCUUAACCAGAAUUACGGAAUGAGGACCGGGCCUGUACUCAUGGUAACGAUGGAAGGAAAUAUUUCGAAGACUUCUCAGUAGUGGAAGAAGGUAAUAUCACCUUGGUUAGGAAAAGCGCUUUAGGCUGGGCAAAGCCUUUAUUUUCUUAAUGGGGACCCAAUAAGUUCAGUACAUGUAAAGAUAAAUACAUCACCUCUCUCCUAGGCCUCUUGGGACUCUCCUUUGGCAACCCGUCGCGCCCUCGUCGCGGCGUUAGCAGCCAUUGACGAUGAAGACUAAGCGAGCCGGCCGGAGCAUAUGCUACUUUUUCUAAAUCGUGAACACCUUAUCUUUCUUCUCUGUCUGAUCCGCACACUCCAGACCUCGCCUCGGUUCUUGGCUUUGAUCCAAUUCCGAAGCUCGUUUGCUCACUAGCCGAUGUCAUUUUCAAUUGACUUAGUUAGAAAUGGGGAUACCGUACCACUUUAAAUUAAACAAGCGCCAGGAAAAUGGAGCUUACCGCGCUGAGUUACGUCGUAGGCGAAGCUUUCGAUUCGACAAAUGAAUGGUUGGUGCUUCCCUUCUUUAGCCUAUUUGCCUAUUUGGUAGAUUCAAUUAGGGCUAGCUCAAAGACUGGCUAAUCCCAAUCCGAUGGAUCAACUCUUUCGCGUCGCUUAACGACUUGUAACUCUGGCGAGUACCGAUGCUCCAAAUUGGAUUACCUAGCGCUUGGGUGAGAUGUUCGACAAGAGACUAAGGACUUUUUAGGUGGGAGUUCCAUCCGAGACGGACUGGAAUCACCGGCUCAUACUAGAAGCGGUGAACGGCAAGA